UUCGCACGGGACAGCGGAUUAUUCGAUGCAACGCGAAGAACUUACAAGGCUUGACAUACACUGGACCGUUCUGGAAACAGUUCUUCUCUUUGGAGCUGGUGUACAGGUGGUGCAUGGUUGUCGUCAGCUCGUGUCGUGAGAUGUUGGGUUAAGUCCCGCAACGAGCGCAACCCUCGUUCUAUGUUGCCAGCACGUGAUGGUGGGAACUCAUAGGAGACUGCCGGGGUCAACUCGGAGGAAGGUGGGGAUGACGUCAAAUCAUCAUGCCCUUUAUGUCUUGGGCUUCACGCAUGCUACAAUGGCUGGUACAGAGAGAGGCGAACCCGUGAGGGUAAGCGAAUCCCUUAAAGCCAGUCUCAGUUCGGAUCGUAGUCUGCAAUUCGACUACGUGAAGUCGGAGUCGCUAGUAAUCGCAGAUCAGCAACGCUGCGGUGAAUACGUUCCCGGGCCUUGUACACACCGCCCGUAAUGNNNNNNUNCUUUNUCCCUGUUGUUUCUGG
This 500-nucleotide ribosomal RNA is filed under the name Brevibacterium sp. FRE006. RNAcentral describes it as "bacterial SSU rRNA". It matches the Rfam family "Bacterial small subunit ribosomal RNA", at positions 926 to 1433 of the family's 1533-position model. The record is from RNAcentral. Lineage: Bacteria; Bacillati; Actinomycetota; Actinomycetes; Micrococcales; Brevibacteriaceae.